This 253-nucleotide ribosomal RNA is filed under the name uncultured bacterium. RNAcentral describes it as "partial 16S ribosomal RNA". It matches the Rfam family "Bacterial small subunit ribosomal RNA", at positions 524 to 776 of the family's 1533-position model. The record is from RNAcentral.
UACGUAGGUGACAAGCGUUGUCCGGAUUUACUGGGCGUAAAGAGCGCGCAGGCGGUCGAUCAAGUCGAGUGUGAAAGCCCCCGGCUCAACUGGGGAGGGUCAUUCGAUACUGAUCGACUCGAAGGCAGGAGAGGGUAGUGGAAUUCCCGGUGUAGUGGUGAAAUGCGCAGAUAUCUGGAGGAACACCGGUGGCGAAGGCGGCAUCCUGGACCGGCAUUGACGCUGAGGCGCGAAAGCCAGGGGAGCAAACGGG